Molecule: long non-coding RNA, 3087 nt
Organism: Betta splendens (Siamese fighting fish)
Lineage: Eukaryota; Metazoa; Chordata; Actinopteri; Anabantiformes; Osphronemidae
Exons: 3
Source: RefSeq, a predicted model, not a curated record
CGACGUCCGCUGGCCGCCGCGCACCGGAGGCGAGAGAAGCAGCGCAGCUCCCGGGAAGAUGUCGCGGAGGAGGCGGCGACGUGGUGUGAAAUAAGCAGCACAGAACAUGUUUUUGUUUUCCUACCGCGAAGCACGACAAUAUCAUGGGCUUUGAGGUUCUAGUUCUAUUCGUCUUCAUGUUAAAGAUUUGACUGAAGCCAAAAGCCCGACCAAGGAUCCUUGUGCUUUGAUGAAUCCAGGAACGGACCCGCUGUCUGCUUAGGCAUCGCUGAGACCUUGCCCACGGGGAGGAGCGCGUGCCCGGCUGGCUCUGGCAGCUUUCAAACAAUGACACUGAGUUAUGACACCAGUGAACGGCGCCAGGCAUCGUCAGCGAAUGAGAGAGAGAGGAGAACCGGACCUCUCUAUCAACACUUUAAUUGGGGGGAAUUAAGGAUCAUUCUCACUUUUGACUAAUCCAACAGCUGCUUGUCAUUGUCUGUCUGUGCUGUGGUGUGUACGUGCCCUUCAGUCGCUCCCCCUCCUCCAACUCACUGUUUUUUUUCCCUGUUCCGCACAGCAGCUCACGGGCUUUGAUGAGAGGCCUGAGCUAAAAUGUCACAGGGAUUAAGAGGUUUUGCCUCCUGCAUCCCACCGGAUCAGUUCUAGCUGCCUUGUGUGCCUGAGCUUCCUCCUACCCAGACAGGUGCACAGUGGCAUUUCUUUCCACUCUGCUGUGCCCUAUUGAAUUUCCUUCUGGGAGAAAUAACAUUGCUCCAUGUUUACUGAUGAGUAAGAGGCAAAAUAUGGUGAAGGGAGAAAGGGAGGGUUGAGAAAAUUAAUGAGAGAAGAGUGGACAGGGAAACACAAAUAAUGUGACGACCAUAUUCUUCACCUACAACAUGCAUAUAGACGUAGAUUUAUUCUAUAAAUUCAAAGUCAACAUGUUGUUAAAACCUGUGGUUUCAAGCAUUCCAAGUUUGAAAAGUUAACUUUUAUCAUUUCUCCUUUCAGCUCCCACCCAGACCCACACACACACACACACACACACACACACACACACACACACACUCAUCUGUGGCUGCUUCCUCCAAACACCGUUAGACAGAUUUGAAAAUGAAAUGUCUCCAGAGAGACAUCUGAGAGAGACAUCUGCAGUUCAGAUGGAGCCUUUAACAUCACAUAGCCAGAGCUGCCAUCAUAUUAAAUAGCUUUCGGAAAUUAUUUUUAGUUCCUGCUGCAUUAAAACGACCCCACAGUCACUCGUGAAUUCACUUUAACCUUUAAAGUUAAUGGAGUUGUUCCUUCCACAAGUGAUGAUUACUCGUUAUUGUAGCUGGAACUGAAAUUGUGUUUAUUGUAUUUAUAAGGUAUGUGUUGCCAGAAUGCCGUUGCGACGUGAAGUGCACAACAGCAGGGCAGAUCGCACGUUACUGUAUGAUUUGUGUCCAGGUCGCAGAUUGGAUUUGUCACAAAGAAGCCGGAAAAAGUGAGACCAAAAUGGCUCCAGUAGCGUUUGGAGUCCGCCUUUCAUCCACGAUGAACAGCCGGGCUUGGCCUCCUUCUUAGAUUCAUUGCUGACAGAAAAAGAAAGAAAAAAAAAACAGCAGCAGACGCACAAAAUAAAAACGCAGCCAGCUUAUUCAUUACGGUUUUGUGCUGAGAGUCUAAAUGUGCAGAGGAAAAAUCUAGGUCAUUUCUCCAUCAUUAGUAUGCCAGCCAGGUGUAGAGCAAAGAGGAUUAGAGGCAAGUAAUGCCAAUGGGGCCCUCCACGUGUGCCUCUCCUUCAUUCUCUCGCUCUCUGAAAUUUGACAAUCACACCGAAGUGCCCCCGUUAUCGCCUCGUCAUAUCCAUGACUUGUAAUUAAGCAUUUAGGAGUUACACAGCUAGGAAACUGAUCGUGUUUUGAGAGACAAAAGGGGAGGGACAGCAUGUCCAAUCAUAGUCAGCAGUGCUGUUCAUGGGGUUUAUAUCUGUCGUGUACUGGCUCCCGCUGCUCUUCUAUAGAAUACAACACUGGUAUCGACAUCCAGUUCUGAAUGAGUCUGCUUCACAAAUAAAGGCGGAACAACCUCUUAGAGACAAGAGAAGCUCAGUAAAGAUCCUCAUGUGUUCAGCGUGUGAUACGUUACAUGAACUAGUUUAGUCAGGUGACUUCCAUGUAUCUCGUCCUUCACAUCGUUUAUGUUUUUGUUCAGGUGUCGUCUUUUGUUAGUUCUUGUUCUCAUCAUGUGACAUCACUUCCUGUUUGGUGCUUGUGUAAUUAGUUUGAUCAGUCCCACCUUGUUUGUGUUAUGUUACCUGUAGUUCAGUUAUUCUUGCUUUAUUCACCUCCAGUAGUAUAUGAAGUAUACACAGUAGUAGUACAUGUUACCACUAGCUUUCAGUGUUUUCUAGUUUUCAGCCUGUUGUGCUCUUAAAGCUCCUCUCCACUGUAAUAACUACCAUGAUUAGGAUCCGGACGAGCUCCCAGGAGAGUGAACGUCCCACAGCAUCAUGGACGGCACUGGAAAGGCAGGAAUAACUCACAACGAGGCCCGAGGCCAGCAGAGAGCCCUCAGGUGCUAUUUAAUGACCGACGAAUGCAAAAAGACAGACGUCUGCUAGAAGCUCUGCAUCACCGCAUGCUCCUGAGGGGACGGCUGACGGUUAAAAAUGCUAUCAUGAGACAGCCCACAUGGGAUUUUCAAACUAACUGACCUUCUGGGAAAUACUGGGGUGAUUCAUCCAGCCUGAUGAAGGCCCAGCAAACCCAGACCAGUUCAGAACUGGGCUCAUCAGCGGUGGUAAAAGCGUUGGUUUAACAAGUUGGAAUGAAUGAGCGUCUUGGUGUUCCUGGAAAAAUAGAUUCGAGGGCAGGGAGGUAAAAAUCCUGUUGAAAUUUGCCCUGUUGGAUGUAGAGCGAGAGGGCGAUCAAGGAUGCUGAAGUCCCUGUGAGACGGCAACCUGCUCAGCACUUAGCAGCUUUGAGUCACGCCGCUCCUUCAGACUGGAUAGUUAAACCAUCAAAGAGUUCACCGCAGCUGCUUAAAACGCAGCUUCCUUUGGUAGCGAUCAAGGCUCGCGGCGCUAAUUAGCUCAGCGGCGCCCAAGUGGAGGCUGUUUGC